UAGCUAGUUGGAAGGGUAAAGGCCUCCCAAGGCGACGAUCGGUAGCUGGUCUGAGAGGAUGGCCAGCCACACUGGGACUGAGACACGGCCCAGACUCUUACGGGAGGCAGCAGUGGGGAAUAUUGGACAAUGGGGGGAACCCUGAUCCAGCAAUGCCGCGUGUGUGAAGAAGGCCUGAGGGUUGUAAAGCACUUUCGGUAGGGAGGAGGAUUAUUUGGUUAAGAGCUGGAUGAUUGGACGUUACCUACAGAAGAAGCACCGGCUAACUCCGUGCCAGCAGCCGCGGUAAUACGGAGGGUGCGAGCGUUAAUCGGAAUUACUGGGCGUAAAGGGUGCGUAGGUGGUUUGAUAAGUUAGCUGUGAAAGCCCUGGGCUCAACCUGGGAAGGUCAGCUAAGACUGUUAGACUCGAGUAUGGGAGAGGGUAGUGGAAUUUCCGGUGUAGCGGUGAAAUGCGUAGAGAUCGGAAGGAACACCAGUGGCGAAGGCGGCUACCUGGCCUGAUACUGACACUGAGGCACGAAAGCGUGGGGAGCAAACAGGAUUAGAUACCCUGGUAGUCCACGCUGUAAACGAUGUCAACUAGCUGUUGGUCAUAUGAAUGUGAUUAGUGGCGC
This 616-nucleotide ribosomal RNA is filed under the name uncultured Legionella sp. RNAcentral's name for it is "bacterial SSU rRNA". It matches the Rfam family "Bacterial small subunit ribosomal RNA", at positions 242 to 849 of the family's 1533-position model. The record is from RNAcentral. Lineage: Bacteria; Pseudomonadati; Pseudomonadota; Gammaproteobacteria; Legionellales; Legionellaceae.